AAUCUUCUUCUGUGUUCGAGACCUCGUUAUACUCUUAUCCUUUCUAAUCCAUCGGGAGCUUGACGCCAGGCAAUGACGGUCAAGCCGUAAACCGGAAGACUUGAGUUGUCUGGAAAGCACCCACCUUGAUCAACUGAGGUAAAUAGAGUAUUCGCAUAUUCGGCAUAAGCAGAAGGUUC
Molecule: non-coding RNA, 179 nt
Filed under: Cerasicoccus arenae
Lineage: Bacteria; Pseudomonadati; Verrucomicrobiota; Opitutia; Puniceicoccales; Cerasicoccaceae
Description: 6S / SsrS RNA
Rfam family: 6S / SsrS RNA
About the family: E. coli 6S RNA was the first non coding RNA to be sequenced, but its function was unknown until recently. It consists of 184 nucleotides that fold into an extended hairpin structure with a large single-stranded internal bulge. The 6S RNA specifically associates with RNA polymerase holoenzyme containing the sigma70 specificity factor.
Source: Rfam by way of RNAcentral